This 515-nucleotide ribosomal RNA is filed under the name Arthrobacter sp. BL_I. Its description in RNAcentral is "bacterial SSU rRNA". It matches the Rfam family "Bacterial small subunit ribosomal RNA", at positions 8 to 524 of the family's 1533-position model. Lineage: Bacteria; Bacillati; Actinomycetota; Actinomycetes; Micrococcales; Micrococcaceae. The record is from RNAcentral.
AGAGUUUGAUCCUGGCUCAGGAUGAACGCUGGCUGCGUGCUUAGCACAUGCAAGUCGAACGAUGAACCUCACUUGUGGUGGGAUUAGUGGCGAACGGGUGAGUAACACGUGAGUAACCUGCCCUUGACUCUGGGAUAAGCCUGGGAAACCGGGUCUAAUACUGGAUACGACCUUCUGGCGCAUGCCAUGUUGGUGGAAAGCUUUUGUGGUUUUGGAUGGACUCGCGGCCUAUCAGCUUGUUGGUGGGGUAAUGGCCUACCAAGGCGACGACGGGUAGCCGGCCUGAGAGGGUGACCGGCCACACUGGGACUGAGACACGGCCCAGUACUCCUACGGGAGGCAGCAGUGGGGAAUAUUGCACAAUGGGCGCAAGCCUGAUGCAGCGACGCCGCGUGAGGAAUGAAGGCCUUCGGGUUGUAAACCUCUUUCAGUAGGGAAGAGGCUGGCCUUUUGGGGUUGGUGACGGUACCUGCAGAAGAAGCGCCGGCUAACUACGUGCCAGCAGCCGCGGUAAU